AUUGAACGCUGGCGGCAUGCCUUACACAUGCAAGUCGAACGGCAGCACGGGUGCUUGCACCUGGUGGCGAGUGGCGAACGGGUGAGUAAUAUAUCGGAACGUACCUUAUCGUGGGGGAUAACGCAGCGAAAGCUGCGCUAAUACCGCAUACGCCCUGAGGGGGAAAGCGGGGGACCGUAAGGCCUCGCGCGAUUAGAGCGGCCGAUAUCUGAUUAGCUUGUUGGUGGGGUAAAAGCCCACCAAGGCGACGAUCAGUAGCUGGUCUGAGAGGACGAUCAGCCACACUGGGACUGAGACACGGCCCAGACUCCUACGGGAGGCAGCAGUGGGGAAUUUUGGACAAUGGGGGCAACCCUGAUCCAGCAAUGCCGCGUGAGUGAAGAAGGCCUUCGGGUUGUAAAGCUCUUUUGUCAGGGAAGAAACAGCAGCUCUAACACAGUCUGCGAAUGACGGUACC
This 457-nucleotide ribosomal RNA is filed under the name Polynucleobacter sp. Fw70s-20. RNAcentral describes it as "bacterial SSU rRNA". It matches the Rfam family "Bacterial small subunit ribosomal RNA", at positions 30 to 479 of the family's 1533-position model. Lineage: Bacteria; Pseudomonadati; Pseudomonadota; Betaproteobacteria; Burkholderiales; Burkholderiaceae. RNAcentral also lists the same sequence under 16 other names. The record is from RNAcentral.